This 73-nucleotide transfer RNA is filed under the name Camelus bactrianus (Bactrian camel). It matches the Rfam family "tRNA". From Rfam's summary of the family: Transfer RNA (tRNA) molecules are approximately 80 nucleotides in length. Their secondary structure includes four short double-helical elements and three loops (D, anti-codon, and T loops). Further hydrogen bonds mediate the characteristic L-shaped molecular structure. tRNAs have two regions of fundamental functional importance: the anti-codon, which is responsible for specific mRNA codon recognition, and the 3' end, to which the tRNAs corresponding amino acid is attached (by aminoacyl-tRNA synthetases). tRNAs cope with the degeneracy of the genetic code in two manners: having more than one tRNA (with a specific anti-codon) for a particular amino acid; and 'wobble' base-pairing, i.e. permitting non-standard base-pairing at the 3rd anti-codon position. Lineage: Eukaryota; Metazoa; Chordata; Mammalia; Artiodactyla; Camelidae. RNAcentral also lists the same sequence under 2 other names. The record is from Rfam by way of RNAcentral.
GAGGGUAUAGCUCAAAUGGUAGAGCACAUGCUUAGCAUACACAAGGUUCUGGGUUCAAUCCCCAGUACCUCCU